GAUGAACGCUGGCGGCGUGCUUAACACAUGCAAGUCGAACGAGAAAUGGAGACGGACACCUUCGGGCGGAAGGCUUCAUUUCGAGUGGCGGACGGGUGAGUAACGCGUGGGUAACCUGCCUCAUACAGGGGGAUAACAGUUGGAAACGACUGUUAAUACCGCAUAAGACCACAGCACCGCAUGGUGCGGGGGUAAAAACUCCGGUGGUAUGAGAUGGACCCGCGUUCGAUUAGCCAGUUGGCGGGGUAACGGCCCACCAAAGCGACGAUCGAUAGCCGAUCUGAGAGGAUGACCGGCCACAUUGGGACUGAGACACGGCCCAAACUCCUACGGGAGGCAGCAGUGGGGAAUAUUGCACAAUGGGGGAAACCCUGAUGCAGCGACGCCGCGUGAGUGAAGAAGUACUUCGGUAUGUAAAGCUCUAUCAGCAGGGAAGAAAAUGACGGUACCUGAGGAAGAAGCCCCGGCUAACUACGUG
RNAcentral lists this ribosomal RNA (478 nucleotides) under uncultured bacterium. Its description in RNAcentral is "partial 16S ribosomal RNA". It matches the Rfam family "Bacterial small subunit ribosomal RNA", at positions 28 to 507 of the family's 1533-position model. The record is from RNAcentral.